GAAUUUUGGACAAUGGGCGAAAGCCUGAUCCAGCAAUGCCGCGUGCAGGAUGAAGGCCUUCGGGUUGUAAACUGCUUUUGUACGGAACGAAAAGCUUUGGGUUAAUACCCAGGAGGCAUGACGGUACCGUAAGAAUAAGCCCCGGCUCAACACGUUCCCGAAGCCGAGGGAAUACGUAGGGUGCAAGCGGUAAUCGGCAUUACUGGGCGUAAAGCGUGCGCAGGCGGUUUUGUAAGACAGAGGUGAAAUCCCCGGGCUCAACCUGGGAACUGCCUUUGUGACUGCAAGGCUAGAGUACGGCAGAGGGGGGUGGAAUUCCGCGUGUAGCAGUGAAAUGCGUAGAUAUGCGGAGGAACACCGAUGGCGAAGGCAACCCCCUGGGCCUGUACUGACGCUCAUGCACGAAAGCGUGGGGAGCAAAC
This 422-nucleotide ribosomal RNA is filed under the name uncultured bacterium. Its description in RNAcentral is "partial 16S ribosomal RNA". It matches the Rfam family "Bacterial small subunit ribosomal RNA", at positions 359 to 773 of the family's 1533-position model. The record is from RNAcentral.